UACGGGGGGGGCAAGCGUUGUUCGGAAUUACUGGGCGUAAAGGGUUCGUAGGUGGCCAACUAAGUCAGACGUGAAAUCCCUCAGCUUAACUGGGGAACUGCGUCUGAUACUGGUUGGCUUGAGUGCAGGAGAGGAACGCGGAAUUCCAGGUGUAGCGGUGAAAUGCGUAGAUAUCUGGAGGAACACCGGUGGCGAAGGCGGCGUUCUGGACUGUUUCUGACACUGAAAAACGAAAGCCAGGGGAGCAAACGGG
This 253-nucleotide ribosomal RNA is filed under the name uncultured bacterium. Its description in RNAcentral is "partial 16S ribosomal RNA". It matches the Rfam family "Bacterial small subunit ribosomal RNA", at positions 524 to 776 of the family's 1533-position model. The record is from RNAcentral.